RNAcentral lists this ribosomal RNA (407 nucleotides) under uncultured bacterium. RNAcentral describes it as "bacterial SSU rRNA". It matches the Rfam family "Bacterial small subunit ribosomal RNA", at positions 28 to 421 of the family's 1533-position model. The record is from RNAcentral.
GAUGAACGCUGGCGGCAUGCCUAAUACAUGCAAGUCGAACGAAGUCUUUAGGAAGCUUGCUUCCAAAGAGACUUAGUGGCGAACGGGUGAGUAACACGUAGGUAACCUGCCCAUGUGCCCGGGAUAACUGCUGGAAACGGUAGCUAAAACCGGAUAGGUAUGAGGGAGGCAUCUUCCUCAUAUUAAAGCACCUUCGGGUGUGAACAUGGAUGGACCUGCGGCGCAUUAGCUGGUUGGUGAGGUAACGGCCCACCAAGGCGAUGAUGCGUAGCCGACCUGAGAGGGUGAACGGGCCACAUUGGGACUGAGACACGGCCCAAACUCCUACGGGAGGCAGCAGUAGGGAAUUUUUCGCAAUGGACGAAAGUCUGACGGAGCAACGCCGCGUGAGUGAUGACGGCUUCGGG